AGAGUUUGAUCCUGGCUCAGAUUGAACGCUGGCGGCAGGCUUAACACAUGCAAGUCGAGCGGGGGAGGUUGCUUCGGUAACUGACCUAGCGGCGGACGGGUGAGUAAUACUUAGGAAUCUGCCUAUUAAUGGGGGACAACAUCUCGAAAGGGAUGCUAAUACCGCAUACGCCCUACGGGGGAAAGCAGGGGAUCACUUGUGACCUUGCGUUAAUAGAUGAGCCUAAGUCGGAUUAGCUAGUUGGUGGGGUAAAGGCCUACCAAGGCGACGAUCUGUAGCGGGUCUGAGAGGAUGAUCCGCCACACUGGGACUGAGACACGGCCCAGACUCCUACGGGAGGCAGCAGUGGGGAAUAUUGGACAAUGGGCGCAAGCCUGAUCCAGCCAUGCCGCGUGAGUGAUGAAGGCCUUAGGGUUGUAAAGCUCUUUCGACGGGGACGAUGAUGACGGUACCCGUAGAAGAAGCCCCGGCUAACUUCGUGCCAGCAGCCGCGGUAAU
Molecule: ribosomal RNA, 498 nt
Filed under: uncultured bacterium
Lineage: Bacteria
Description: bacterial SSU rRNA
Rfam family: Bacterial small subunit ribosomal RNA
Source: RNAcentral